UAUCUGAAUAUCCUCGAGAACUGAAACGCUCACUUGAUCAUAAGUGGUGUGUAAAAGGGGAAAACAGACAUUUGAUUUCAUUUUUGUUCAUUACCACAGCAAGUAGUUGACUUCUUCUUAGUCUGUGAAAUGAUUUUAGAUGUAAUAAUCCAGAUGGUACAUAGACAAAAUCUUUAAUAUCUUUAACGAGGAUGGAUUAUCAAGUACCAACAAGAAGAAAGGAAAAGUCAGUAACCCAGUGCACAAGUCUCAAGAAAAGAGAUUUCCAUCGAAUGUGUGCACAAUGCUGAUGGAUUUCCUGGUGUGGUCAUCUAUGACGAUAAAGCAUUCCCCAUUCAACAAGAUGUCAUAGAGUGGCAUGCUUCAGGCUCUUACAGUUCUGUGCAACCUUUCCAAACUGCCCAUGAAGACACUGAGGACCCUGCCACACUGGAUAGGGAUCCUCCAGAGACUGACAGUAAUCCACGCCACAGUCUUUAAGAGGAAGAGGAGGCAAAGAGGAUGACUUGAGGCAUCUACAGCC
Molecule: long non-coding RNA, 523 nt
Organism: Etheostoma cragini (Arkansas darter)
Lineage: Eukaryota; Metazoa; Chordata; Actinopteri; Perciformes; Percidae
Exons: 5
Source: RefSeq, a predicted model, not a curated record